Molecule: ribosomal RNA, 492 nt
Filed under: uncultured bacterium
Lineage: Bacteria
Description: partial 16S ribosomal RNA
Rfam family: Bacterial small subunit ribosomal RNA
Source: RNAcentral
AGUGAACGCUGGCGGUAGGCCUAACACAUGCAAGUCGAACGGCAGCACAGUAAGAGCUUGCUCUUACGGGUGGCGAGUGGCGGACGGGUGAGGCAUACAUCGGAAUCUACUUUUUCGUGGGGGAUAACGUAGGGAAACUUACGCUAAUACCGCAUACGACCUACGGGUGAAAGCAGGGGAUCUUCGGACCUUGCGCGAUUGAAUGAGCCGAUGUCGGAUUAGCUAGUUGGCGGGGUAAAGGCCCACCAAGGCGACGAUCCGUAGCUGGUCUGAGAGGAUGAUCAGCCACACUGGAACUGAGACACGGUCCAGACUCCUACGGGAGGCAGCAGUGGGGAAUAUUGGACAAUGGGCGCAAGCCUGAUCCAGCCAUACCGCGUGGGUGAAGAAGGACUUCGGGUUGUAAAGCCCUGUUGUUGGGAAAGAAAAGCAGCAGGUUAAUACCCCGCUGUUCUGACGGUACCCAAAGAAUAAGCACCGGCUAACUUCGUG